Long non-coding RNA from Alosa sapidissima (American shad), 122 nucleotides. RefSeq lists it as uncharacterized. The record is from RefSeq and is a predicted model, not a curated record. Lineage: Eukaryota; Metazoa; Chordata; Actinopteri; Clupeiformes; Clupeidae. The transcript is spliced from 3 exons.
UGAAAUGUAACAUAAAUAAGGUAUGUUGAAGAAAUGAUGAGAUUACUGUAUGUCCUAGAACAUCUAAUUAAUAUAGCUUACAUAAUAACCAGUCUUAAAGUAGUAUCCCAAAUUGACAAUAA